GGAGCCUUUAAGAGAGAGUGAGAGACAGAGAGAGCAAGAAGAUGAAAGAGUGAUUUUUCUCUGUUUUUGAUACUACGUAUCAUGUUGUUGUUUUUUUUUUUUUUUUUGGUCAUCACAUGUUGUUGUUUUUUAAUUUCAUUCAAUGAAUGCAUGCAGCUCAUCAAAACUAAGGUUUUAAUUAUGGUAAUAAAAGACAUAAUUUUGACAAACAAUUGAAUCAAAAUCAUUGAUCGAAUGAAACACAAAAA
Molecule: long non-coding RNA, 248 nt
Filed under: Capsella rubella
Lineage: Eukaryota; Viridiplantae; Streptophyta; Magnoliopsida; Brassicales; Brassicaceae
Description: long non-coding RNA (CRUB_LNC004668)
Source: RNAcentral